RNAcentral lists this transfer RNA (87 nucleotides) under Marininema mesophilum. Its description in RNAcentral is "Thermoactinomycetaceae bacterium SCSIO 10219 tRNA". It matches the Rfam family "tRNA". Rfam says of the family: Transfer RNA (tRNA) molecules are approximately 80 nucleotides in length. The record is from Rfam by way of RNAcentral. Lineage: Bacteria; Bacillati; Bacillota; Bacilli; Caryophanales; Thermoactinomycetaceae.
GGAGAGGUGGUCGAGUGGUUGAAGGCAACGGUCUUGAAAACCGUCGUACCUUUGCGGGUACCGUGGGUUCGAAUCCCACCCUCUCUG